Zea mays is the source of this 690-nucleotide long non-coding RNA. RefSeq lists it as uncharacterized. The record is from RefSeq and is a predicted model, not a curated record. Lineage: Eukaryota; Viridiplantae; Streptophyta; Magnoliopsida; Poales; Poaceae. The transcript has 4 exons.
AGCAGCAGGUGGUUCUUCUCUCCUCGUAUCUUUUUUGUGUCUUCUUCUUGCUUCACAUCUCGCUCUCGCGCUCUCUCCUCCUCCCCCAGAACUCCACCUUCCCCCGCUCGCCUGCGUGCUUCGGCAACAGUCGCUUUCGGACUUCGGUUUCCCUCCACCGGCGCUUCAAAGCCUACAACGAUGGAAAAAGGAAGUUAGCACCUUCAAGGGUACUCAAACGUUGCUGCACCGGACAUCGUGUCGUGUAUCAUUGUAUGAAGCACACCCAGGUUAGCAAAGGCAUGCCAGAUUCUACAUGUUCAAAGAAUGACAACAUUUAGUCCAUCAUGAAAUACAUUAAGGUAUGAGGCUCCAUCACUUUUGGUCCUGAGACUUUUAUGUACAUAUUAACCUGAUGUUUAAACCUUCCUAAAACAGUGUCUAUGCAAGAAAAGCUAGGUCACUUUUGAUCAGUAGACUCUUAUUUGCACCUUACACACAUAUAAAAGGCCUCAUCACUUUUGGUCACAAGACUUUUAUGUACAUAUUAACCUGAUGUUGAAGCCUUCGUAGAACUAUGUGUGUAUGCAAGAAAAAUUAUGUCACUUCUGGUCAGUAUACUGACUGUUAGAGCCUUUCUACAACUAUACUUGCCUAUGUAAACUCUGCAGAUACACUAUUACUGGACACUCAAGUAUGCUAGUUUAAUGU